UACGAAGGGGGCUAGCGUUGUUCGGAAUUACUGGGCGUAAAGCGCGCGCAGGCGGCCAUUCAAGUCAGGGGUGAAAGCCCAGAGCUCAACUCUGGAACUGCCCUUGAAACUGUAUGGCUUGAGUAUGAGAGAGGUGAGUGGAAUUCCCAGUGUAGAGGUGAAAUCCGUAAAUAUUGGGAAGAACACCGGUGGCGAAGGCGGCUCACUGGCUCAUUACUGACGCUCAGGCGCGACAGCGUGGGGAUCAAACCAGG
Molecule: ribosomal RNA, 254 nt
Filed under: uncultured bacterium
Lineage: Bacteria
Description: partial 16S ribosomal RNA
Rfam family: Bacterial small subunit ribosomal RNA
Source: RNAcentral